CAGCACCUCAAGUGGUCAGGAUGAUUAUUGGGCCUAAAGCAUCCGUAGCCGGCUCUGUAAGUUUUCGGUUAAAUCUGUAUGCUCAACAUACAGGCUGCCGGGAAUACUGCAGAGCUAGGGAGUGGGAGAGGCAGACGGUACUCGGUAGGAAGGGGUAAAAUCCUUUGAUCUAUUGAUGACCACCUGUGGCGAAGGCGGUCUACCAGAACACGUCCGACGGUGAGGGAUGAAAGCUGGGGGAGCAAACCGGAUUAGAUACCCGAGUAGUCC
Molecule: ribosomal RNA, 270 nt
Filed under: uncultured archaeon
Lineage: Archaea
Description: partial 16S ribosomal RNA
Rfam family: Archaeal small subunit ribosomal RNA
Source: RNAcentral